RNAcentral lists this transfer RNA (77 nucleotides) under Alphaproteobacteria bacterium. Its description in RNAcentral is "tRNA-Asp". It matches the Rfam family "tRNA". From Rfam's summary of the family: Transfer RNA (tRNA) molecules are approximately 80 nucleotides in length. Their secondary structure includes four short double-helical elements and three loops (D, anti-codon, and T loops). Further hydrogen bonds mediate the characteristic L-shaped molecular structure. tRNAs have two regions of fundamental functional importance: the anti-codon, which is responsible for specific mRNA codon recognition, and the 3' end, to which the tRNAs corresponding amino acid is attached (by aminoacyl-tRNA synthetases). tRNAs cope with the degeneracy of the genetic code in two manners: having more than one tRNA (with a specific anti-codon) for a particular amino acid; and 'wobble' base-pairing, i.e. permitting non-standard base-pairing at the 3rd anti-codon position. RNAcentral also lists the same sequence under 1 other name. The record is from RNAcentral. Lineage: Bacteria; Pseudomonadati; Pseudomonadota; Alphaproteobacteria.
GGGGGUGUAGCUCAGUUGGUUAGAGCGCCGCCCUGUCACGGCGGAGGCCGCGGGUUCGAGUCCCGUCACUCCCGCCA